This 428-nucleotide ribosomal RNA is filed under the name uncultured prokaryote. RNAcentral describes it as "bacterial SSU rRNA". It matches the Rfam family "Bacterial small subunit ribosomal RNA", at positions 355 to 774 of the family's 1533-position model. The record is from RNAcentral.
UCGAGGAUCAUUCGCAAUGGGCGAAAGCCUGACGAUGCGACGCUGCGUGGAGGAUGAAGGCCCUCGGGUCGUAAACUCCUGUCAUGAGGGAAAAAGGUGCCGGGCGUGAACAACGUUCGGCCUAGAUGGUACCUCAAGAGGAAGCCACGGCUAACUCUGUGCCAGCAGCCGCGGUAAUCCAGAGGUGGCAAGCGUUGUUCGGAUUUACUGGGCGUAAAGGGCGCGUAGGCGGUCCCGUGUGUCGAGUGUGAAAUCUCCGGGCUCAACCCGGAAAGUGCGCUCGAAACUGCGGAACUUGAGCACAGGAGGGGAGAGCGGAAUGCAAGGUGUAGCGGUGAAAUGCGUUGAUAUCUUGAAGAACACCGGUGGCGAAGGCGGCUCUCUGGAAUGUUGCUGACGCUGAGGCGCGAAAGUUGGGGGAGCAAACA